This 696-nucleotide ribosomal RNA is filed under the name uncultured bacterium. RNAcentral's name for it is "bacterial SSU rRNA". It matches the Rfam family "Bacterial small subunit ribosomal RNA", at positions 32 to 715 of the family's 1533-position model. The record is from RNAcentral.
AACGCUAGCUACAGGCUUAACACAUGCAAGUCGAGGGGAAACGAUAUUGGAAGCUUGCUUCCGAUAGGCGUCGACCGGCGCACGGGUGAGUAACGCGUAUCCAACCUGCCCACCACUUGGGGAUAACCUUGCGAAAGUAAGACUAAUACCCAAUGAUAUCUCUAGAAGACAUCUGAAAGGGAUUAAAGAUUUAUCGGUGAUGGAUGGGGAUGCGUCUGAUUAGCUUGUUGGCGGGGUAACGGCCCACCAAGGCGACGAUCAGUAGGGGUUCUGAGAGGAAGGUCCCCCACAUUGGAACUGAGACACGGUCCAAACUCCUACGGGAGGCAGCAGUGAGGAAUAUUGGUCAAUGGGCGAGAGCCUGAACCAGCCAAGUAGCGUGCAGGAUGACGGCCCUAUGGGUUGUAAACUGCUUUUAUAAGGGAAUAAAGUGAGCCUCGUGAGGCUUUUUGCAUGUACCUUAUGAAUAAGGACCGGCUAAUUCCGUGCCAGCAGCCGCGGUAAUACGGAAGGUCCGGGCGUUAUCCGGAUUUAUUGGGUUUAAAGGGAGCGUAGGCCGGAGAUUAAGCGUGUUGUGAAAUGUAGAUGCUCAACAUCUGCACUGCAGCGCGAACUGGUUUCCUUGAGUACGCACAAAGUGGGCGGAAUUCGUGGUGUAGCGGUGAAAUGCUUAGAUAUCACGAAGAACUCCGAUUG